CAUUAGAUGGCUGAAAGCAAGUACUGGUCUCUUAAACCAUCCUAUAGUAGUAUAGCAACUACUUCUAAUG
RNAcentral lists this transfer RNA (70 nucleotides) under Scolytinae sp. BMNH 1040327. Its description in RNAcentral is "tRNA-Lys". Lineage: Eukaryota; Metazoa; Arthropoda; Insecta; Coleoptera; Curculionidae. The record is from RNAcentral.